CCUACGGGCGGCUGCAGUGGGGAAUAUUGGACAAUGGGCGAAAGCCUGAUCCAGCCAUGCCGCGUGUGUGAAGAAGGCCUUCGGGUUGUAAAGCACUUUCAGUGGGGAAGAAAGCCUUGGGGCUAAUACCCUCGAGGAAGGACAUCACCCACAGAAGAAGCACCGGCUAACUCCGUGCCAGCAGCCGCGGUAAUACGGAGGGUGCGAGCGUUAAUCGGAAUUACUGGGCGUAAAGCGCGCGUAGGCGGUCUGAUAAGCCGGUUGUGAAAGCCCCGGGCUCAACCUGGGAACGGCAUCCGGAACUGUCAGGCUAGAGUGCAUGAGAGGAAGGUAGAAUUCCCGGUGUAGCGGUGAAAUGCGUAGAGAUCGGGAGGAAUACCAGUGGCGAAGGCGGCCUUCUGGACUGACACUGACGCUGAGGGGCGAAAGCGUGGGUAGCAAACAGGAUUAGAUACCCCAGUAGUC
RNAcentral lists this ribosomal RNA (465 nucleotides) under Vreelandella stevensii. RNAcentral describes it as "partial 16S ribosomal RNA". It matches the Rfam family "Bacterial small subunit ribosomal RNA", at positions 338 to 795 of the family's 1533-position model. Lineage: Bacteria; Pseudomonadati; Pseudomonadota; Gammaproteobacteria; Oceanospirillales; Halomonadaceae. The record is from RNAcentral.